This 561-nucleotide long non-coding RNA is filed under the name Homo sapiens (human). RNAcentral describes it as "non-protein coding lnc-SLC19A1-7:3". Lineage: Eukaryota; Metazoa; Chordata; Mammalia; Primates; Hominidae. The record is from RNAcentral.
CUCCUCGUGUGCGCGAAACUCAUGGCACUGGCUUGACGGCUUUCUCUGAAACCCUCUGAUUCCGCCUGGCCCAUCCACACUGUCCCUUCCCGGCCAGGGCUCAUCUCCUAUGCCUGGACCAAACAGCGUAGUCUCCAGUCUCCCUGAUCUCCCCACACGUGGCCCCACCCAUCCUCUGAAGCAGCCCCAGGAGGCAGCAGUGACUUCACACUUCUAGUGCCCGGCCCUCCCGGCCCUCCUCUCUGGGCUUGCUUGCCAGGGUCCUCCCAACCUGACUGCUGCCUCCCACCUCCUCUCCGCCCCUGGAGCUCUCCAGCCGCAGCCGCGGGGCCUGCUUGGGAUUCUCCUCUGCUGGCAUCAUCCCUGCCUGCCUCAGCCUUCCCAGGCCCAAUCCUGCCCGAUCUCACCUCUUCCCGCCCAGCCACCUGGUCGGGUCCCGACCAGCAUCUGCCUUCAAACCUGGAGUCCUUCCCUGAGUGCUUGCGGUGCACUGUGAGGAAGGAAAUCAAUGUAAAGGAUUAUGACCCACAUUUUUUAAAAAUAAAAAGAUUAAGGAGAACA